UACGAGGGGUGCAAGCGUUAUUCGGCAUUAUUGGGCGUAAAGGGUGUGUAGACGGCUUUUUAAGUCAACUGUUAAAUUCUCCGGCCUAACCGGAGGUCUGCGGUAGAUACUGAUGAGCUAGAGGGUGGAAGAGAGAAGUGGAAUUCUCGGAGUAGCGGUAAAAUGCGUAGAUCUCGAGAGGAACACCGAUGGCGAAGGCAGCUUCUUGGUCCAUUUCUGACGUUGAAACACGAAAGCGUGGGGAGCAAACAGG
This 253-nucleotide ribosomal RNA is filed under the name uncultured bacterium. RNAcentral describes it as "partial 16S ribosomal RNA". It matches the Rfam family "Bacterial small subunit ribosomal RNA", at positions 524 to 776 of the family's 1533-position model. The record is from RNAcentral.